AUAUUACAGACACUUGAUUUUCUUAUUUAUGCGAUCAGCCGUGUUUUAAAUGUGAAACGAUGGCUACGGUGAGAAUUCAAUUCUGCGUAACAUGCUCCAGCUGUUUUCUCCCCAAACUACUGCACAGCGCGACCGCGGGGAACGCCGAUCCCACCCAGCGGAACGCGAGCCCGAGCACCUGAGGCAUUAUUCCUAACUUUCCGACAUAAUCUCACGCCGGCCGGUUUUAACCAGCACAAAAGUUGAUUUUGAUUUAGUUCUGCUCCUCGAGCGAAGCCUGGCCCGGUCACCAGCAUUUGCUCACCCCAUGUUUGUGUGCGACUUCACUCGCUGCCCGGCUUUUGUCUCCCCGAGCGGCGGAGGGUUCCCGGGGCCGCAGGGGCUGGCGUAGCGCCCGCCAGCCGGGGACCCCGAGCCGAGCGCGGAGAAGCUCCGGGCCCAGCCCCGGGCGCCCCGCGGGCCCCGCUCCGGGCCGGGCCAGCCGCCGCGCUGGAGGGCAGGACCCGUUGGCGGCACGGCGCGCAGGGUCAAGGCCAGGGCCGGGAGGCGAAGAGCCGAGCAGGUUGCUAAUGGAAGGAAAAGGCUGUUACCUGAGGCAGCGGCAGAAGGCAUUCUUGGAUUACUCACUUGGGCUUCUCUAGAACAUGGAAAUAAAGCAGCUACCCACCUAAACUACCAAAAUCCAACACUGCACUCUCUUUUGGUAAGGAAAAAGCUGAGUAACAGCUCAUGUUUAGUGGCCCUUGGCACCCUUAAAGGUCCACAUUGCAGAUGGGAGCACUGACCGCAAUGAACGUGGCCUGGCCUCCGCCACGGGAACACCUCCUAUGAGAAGCAGCAGCUCGGAUGGAAACAUGAUUUAAUUGACAGCCCCAGCAUGGGACCACACAGGUCCAUUGCCUGUGGGACCAACGGAAGGGAGAGAGUCUGGUUCUCCUGCUGGUGGCCCCAGCACAAAGGAAAAGGGUAAAACCAGCCAGGCCCCUCCAGAGUCUGAAGCCCAGUCUGGUGGUUGAGUAUGGUAAGAAGGGCUGCUGGUUUCUGUGCUGGCUGGUGCACUGCAAUGAUGGUCCCAGCUAUGAGCCAAGCGCAGUUCACUGCAAGGCCCAUGGUUUAGGGGCAAGAAUUGAAGGCUAGGACCUGCCAAACUAACAGCUAAUAUUUGGGCGCUGCAGCCUCACCUUGUUAAAAAGCACAUAUUUUUCUGUAACAGCUCACAUGCAAGAUAACAUCAGUAAACGCCUUCUAGAGCACAGUAGUGUUGUACUGUCACCGUGACAUAAAGAUACUAAAGAACUAUAGAAGUCAAGAAAAACGACACAUUUUUAGGCACAAAAUGACACGUGCAGCACCCAGCAUCAGCUGCAGGGUCAUGGAUCUUCCCUUAUUAUCAUUAAUAGGAAGCACAUUACAUUGCACUAUGGCCCCUGGGAUUUUCUGGUGAAGUUAGAGGGUGAAUGGUCAAUGAAAGAACAGACUUUAGGGCACAAUCGGGAUUCCCCAACUUCGAUGAGAUGCUCCAUUCAUGCCAGCAGGGACGGAGGUUUAAAUAGUGAGGAGAGAAACAACUCUCAGGCACCUGCCUAGGUUGAAGUAAGAGUGCAUAUGUUUAAAGCUAUUCUACAGCCCACGGGAGAACAUGAGCAAGCACCUCCAUAACAGUGGACUCACAGGUGGAGAAGAUAACAACAGUCCCACUGUGUAGUUUGUUUAACACAAGUGCACCUCCUUGCACAAGGAUCUGAUCUUGCUUGGUGUUGGCUCACAGUUCCCAUCCCUUUAUCCCGUAUUUCUACAUACAAGGGUUUUAUUUUAUGCUGCAGACACCAUUGUCUAAGUGGCAUUAUUCAGCCUGGCAUUGCCUCAGGCUCAUUCCGUGUCCAUUUUAGGGUGCGCUGUGCUGCAGAAGCUGCUGGUGGUGCAAUGGUGAGUGCCCAGCAGUGCUGAGAGAGCAAGCCACAGCUCCUCUCCUGCUGGUGACUUAGCUCUUCCACAAGCUAAAAGCCUUGAAUGUUUGAGAAGUGAGACAUACUGCAGGACUUGCCCUCAUCUUUAUUCUUUAAAGUUUUUUUGUUCAUAUUCAGGACAUUGUUGAAAGGAAAUUAAAAUCAGAACAGGGGAAAGAGACAGCGAGGGGGCAAGGAAGGCAGAAACUGCUCAGAUCAGCUCGGUUUGAAAUUGCUUGUAACAAAUUUGCUUGUGAUAUUAAAACUGACAAUUAUUUGUACUACAUCAGAAUACAGGAGUGUUUCCACAUCAGAGCCUUCUGAAGAGAGGCUGCAAAUGCAAUCUCACUCUUAAGGGAAUGAGCACAGGAUUGCACAAAUUUCCAGUGAGGACUGCACUGACACAUAUAAAUUGCAGUGCCCUUCUGAAAAGGAACAAACAAAACCAAAACUAAGCUCUCAGUGAACAUAAGAUCACAAGGAACUGGCCACAGGUGGCCACUGGCAGAGUUUUAUGCCAGUGGGAGGAGAAAGAAGAAUUGAUGUAAGUAUUUUGGAGGAGUGAAUGAAUUCUGUCACAACCUGCAGUGGGAUACAAGCAAGCAGCACAGACAGGCAGAGCAGGGCAGGCAAGUAGGGCAGGGUAGGCAAGGCAAGAGGACAAGCAGGAGAGGCGGCCAGGGGUAGGAAGUGGUAGGGCCGGCAGGACAGGCAGGGGAAUCCUCUGGAUCCACUGACUCCUUUUUGGCAACGCACCCAACUGCCUGCCCAUCUCCAGCCACCCCGGCUUGCCUCAUUUGUGCACUGUUUUCAAACAGUUCUGCUACAGCAGAGGUUUCUGAGAAUGCCUUUGUUGUAUGAGAACAGUCUUGAAAGAACAGUGAGAAGCUAGCUCACAGCUGAACUGGAGAGACUGCAGAUGUCUAUUUUUAUUCUUGUUAAUUUAAAAAAUAUAAUUUUUUACUCAAUGCAGUUUUUUCCUUGCCUCGACAUGAAAUUAUUCGGUGAUACCUCCUGUGUGCUAGACUGACCAGGACCCUUACACUGUCCACUGCCUGGCCCGCUCUCCUGGUGCUAUCACCUCCCCACACAUGCUGUGUGGCUACUUCCUGGGGCUUCUUUUUACACAGGGUGCAGAUUGUUUGAAACAGUGGAGAUAAUGAUCUGCUGAGCUACGGCUAUGGUGCAUAACCUGCCAUACUGACUGCCCGUCAGAUUAGGUAUCUUCCUAAAAGUUCUGGUACAACCUCUUGUACAAGACAGCUCUGUGGCUGGGGAAGGACUCUGACUUGUGCAAUGCAUGAGGGCUGGAGUUAAAUCAGAACACAUUUUCAUAAUGAUCCCUUUUGAUCUCUCAGCAAAUAAGAGAAUGGCUUUCAUUAGGCAUGUUCAAGAACAGGUUAGACCACCAUCUGUCACUGAUGCUAUCGACACAGCUGAAAGUGCCUCAGUGUAGAUGAUCUCUUCCAGCCCUGUAUUUGUAUGGCAACUAUGUGUUUUCAUAGCUUUCUGAAAAAUGGUUCGAUUAAUGGUUUGAACUCCAAGACACAAAGACAUACAUGUCCAAUUUCACAGCUAUGUGCCCAGAGCACAGCAAGGAUGUGGCAAGUCUGCAAAUCAGGGAUUCACCCAUGAAAGUCUGUUCUGUUCUUCACUGAAAGCAUUACAGUUCAUUUACCUUUACCUGGCCACCUCCCUGCUUGUGCACUCAAUAGUGUGCACACCCAAGUUGCCUCAGCCCGCACUCAAGAGUGUGGGACUUCUGCUGGGGACUUCUGGGGAAGCCAGUUACCUCUUAGAGAAGAGAAACAUUAUGCCUUAAAUUUAUUAAGCAGUUGGGGGGAAAAAAAAGUCUGAGUGUCCUUGAUGAAAAUACAGCAGAAAUAUUUAGAAUGUGAUUAUUUACAUAGAACAGCAACUUCGAUAGUCUUGGCCAAAGAUAUGCAAAAAGAUACAAAAGCUAUGCAAAGGUUUUAGUUUUUUGAGAUAUGUCAGAAAAAGCCGCCUUCUCAAGGAGUGGAGGUAGGAUUCGCCAUAUGGAAAUUUAAUGAUGUCACCUAAGGGUACUUUUCAUGUUAAUCAAUAUGUAGGUAUUACUUCCCUAGAGUUAUUUGGAGCUAUUCAUUGGUACAAUGUUCCACCUGAGCUUGGGCUAUUUUACACAGGUAUUGUGACAAUAACUAUCAGAUUACCAGUGCUCCUAAACCUGAAUCCAAUCCUUUCCCCAUGGCCAUUUUUGAGGGCUGUUGGCCUGCUCAGAUAAUAGCUUGCUGAGCAGAGCAGUCCAAGUAGUGCAAGAAAAGGUUGAUGCUUGCAUCUACAAUUAUGGAGGGUGAAACACUGUGGUUUCAUAGGGGUUUGAAUGUUGGAGAGACAAAAGAAGAGCAGGCAGAUGAAAUUAUGCAACUUCUUUUCCAUUAACACCAAGUGGAAGGGGGAUACAGGCAUUUAAUAUUUUGGCUGAACAACUGCAAAGAAUAAUUUGAAGCCCAUUAUCAAGACAUACCUUACAUCCAUUGUAAAGACAGAGGGCAUCAACCAUAAAGCAGCACUUUGCCAUAUCACAUUUUGUUUCUGCAGAUAGGGCUAAAAGUUGAAAAAAGCAAAAUAAGACUGUGGUUUUAAGGAAAUCUGUAGUUCUUGUCACACUUCGCACAAGGCUUGUGCUUUGUCAGCCUGCUGUGUACUGUUUGUUGACUACAUAACCCCCCUGGACCCUGGCACCAGCUGAAAUAGGCAUUAAAUGGCCAUUAUCAGCCAAGUCCUUACAUCUGUUUUGAUUUUCUUUCUGAUGCUGGAUCCCAAUGGGAGAUCAAAAUCCACAAUUAGGCUAAAAUAUUCAGCUCAGGUGACACAGCAGAGCAUGUGUCUGCAGUAGCUGUAUUGAGAGGAAAACACCUCUAGGGGUAAUGAAGUCUGGUAGCCUAGAAUAGAGUAGUAACGGGCCACAGGCUUUAUGCUGAUUUUGUGAUGCCUCAGGGCUGAGGCUUGUCAGGAUUGCUUUGUCUGAACUUUCCUUAACCUGCCUUGAGCUGUCCCUCUGUUUAGCUGUGAAAGCAAUUUUUCUAAUGACUAGGGAAUUCAGGUGUAAUUGUAGGAUUUGAAGGCCAGUAAAGAAAAACAAGAUGGAAAGUUGGUAGCAAACACAAAAAUGCCCCCAAGCAAGCGAAAAAUAAGGAAAAAGAAACCAACAACAUCACACUCAUCCUAGUGAAGGAUCUGGGAUGUUGAUGGCUGGCAGAAUUUCCUCACUUACCCCCAUUGCAGCCACUGACCAUUAGACCCGGAGCCAUCAGUGCAAAUGUGAGCAUAACAUUAAAAAAAAGGGGGUAAAGGUAGGAAGUGUGCAUAGAUCAAUUUUACCUUGUUGGGUUUAUUUUUUUCCUGUAGUAGUGUAGCUGUAGUGUCCUCUCUUCUUGUCUCUCCUCUCUUGUAAUUAGAUCUAGACUAAUAAUAA
Long non-coding RNA from Strigops habroptila (Kakapo), 5403 nucleotides. RefSeq lists it as uncharacterized. The record is from RefSeq and is a predicted model, not a curated record. The transcript has 2 exons. Lineage: Eukaryota; Metazoa; Chordata; Aves; Psittaciformes; Psittacidae.